CCAAGGUACACUUGAGAGUGUUUUGACGCCUUGAGAGGUCAGACAGAACUGCUUCCCAGAGGGAGGCAGAAUUGCUUAUCCUUCUCAAAAUGUUUCCCCAGAGAUGAGAUCCCACCAACUUCGCUAGCCUAGCAAAAACGCACUAGAAUGAGACAAAUGAAUUCCGAGGAAAAAAACUGAACUCACCGAUCAGUAUUGCUGGGGAAGACGGCUAUGGAAACGGAUGGGCUGACAGUUAUCUACAGUGAGCUGGAGGUCAAGUCUGAGGUUUCACUUAGAAAAGCUGCAGGAAGAACUUGCUCGGUUCCCACACAGGACAAUCAUCUACCUUGUAAAGGAAGCCUAAUUGCUGUAUCCUCAGGAACUAACCGGUUUCCAACCCAUCUGAUCUCUGGAUGGGAGUUUGCAAUGGCAGUAGUCCAACUCGGAAUAUUCUACUUAUUCUUCUAAGAAAAAAGAAAAAAAAAAACCC
Gallus gallus (chicken) is the source of this 472-nucleotide long non-coding RNA. The record is from Ensembl. NCBI's taxonomy places the organism in Eukaryota, Metazoa, Chordata, Aves, Galliformes, Phasianidae.